ACCCCACUAUGCCUAGCCUUAAACUUUGAUAGUAAGACCUACUAUCCGCCAGAGAAUUACGAGCGAAAAGCUUAAAACUCAAAAGACUUGACGGUGCCCCAAACCAACCUAGAGGAGCCUGUCCUAUAAUCGAUGACCCGCGCUUUACCUCACCUGCCCUCGCACAAAUCAGCCAGCCUAUAUACCGCCGCCUUCCCGCCUACCUUACAAAAGUAACACAGCAAGCAAAAUAGCCCCCCCCCGCUAAAACGUCAGGUCAAGGUGUAGCUAAUGGGCAGGAAAGAGAUGGGCUACAUUCUCUACGCACAUAGACCACCACCCCCGGUAUCAUGAAAACAUACCUCAAAGGAGGAUUUAGUAGUAAUUUAGGCAAGACUUCCUAAAUGAAUUCUGCUCUGGGGCGCGUACACACCGCG
This 416-nucleotide ribosomal RNA is filed under the name Trachydactylus hajarensis. RNAcentral's name for it is "partial small subunit ribosomal RNA". It matches the Rfam family "Bacterial small subunit ribosomal RNA", at positions 784 to 1394 of the family's 1533-position model. Lineage: Eukaryota; Metazoa; Chordata; Lepidosauria; Squamata; Gekkonidae. The record is from RNAcentral.